AACGAACGCUGGCGGCAUGCCUAACACAUGCAAGUCGAACGAGACCUUCGGGUCUAGUGGCGCACGGGUGCGUAACGCGUGGGAAUCUGCCCUUCGGUUGGGAAUAACUGAGAGAAAUUUCAGCUAAUACCUUAUAAUGUCUUCGGACCAAAGAUUUAUCGCCGAGGGAUGAGCCCGCGUAGGAUUAGGUAGUUGGUGGGGUAAUGGCCUACCAAGCCGACGAUCCUUAGCUGGUCUGAGAGGAUGAUCAGCCGCACUGGGACUGAGACACGGCCCAGACUCCUACGGGAAGCAGCAGUGGGGAAUAUUGGACAAUGGGCGAAAGCCUGAUCCAGCAAUGCCGCGUGAGUGAUGAAGGCCUUAGGGUUGUAAAGCUCUUUUACCCGGGAUGAUAAUGACAGUACCGGGAGAAUAAGCUCCGGCUAACUCCGUG
RNAcentral lists this ribosomal RNA (433 nucleotides) under uncultured bacterium. Its description in RNAcentral is "partial 16S ribosomal RNA". It matches the Rfam family "Bacterial small subunit ribosomal RNA", at positions 29 to 507 of the family's 1533-position model. The record is from RNAcentral.